Molecule: ribosomal RNA, 232 nt
Filed under: uncultured bacterium
Lineage: Bacteria
Description: partial 16S ribosomal RNA
Rfam family: Bacterial small subunit ribosomal RNA
Source: RNAcentral
CGGACGGGUGAGUAAUGCCUGGGAAACUGCCUGAUGGAGGGGGAUAACUACUGGAAACGGUAGCUAAUACCGCAUAACGUCGCAAGACCAAAGAGGGGGACCUUAGGGCCUCUUGCCAUCGGAUGUGCCCAGAUGGGAUUAGCUAGUAGGUGGGGUAACGGCUCACCUAGGCGACGAUCCCUAGCUGGUCUGAGAGGAUGACCAGCCACACUGGAACUGAGACACGGUCCAG